This 357-nucleotide long non-coding RNA is filed under the name Brassica rapa (field mustard). RNAcentral describes it as "long non-coding RNA (BRAP_LNC001634)". Lineage: Eukaryota; Viridiplantae; Streptophyta; Magnoliopsida; Brassicales; Brassicaceae. The record is from RNAcentral.
GAAGACCACGGUUAAGAUUCGAGGACGAAUCUUUCCAACCCGGAGAGAAUGAUGGAGAAAGAUAUUUGGAUAUAUCUAGAUUAUUAUUUAUUAUGGUGAUUAUCUUAAUUAGUUAUAAUUAUCUUAAGGAUUUUUAAUAGUUUUAAAGUUAUUUGGUUUUCAUAUAAAUAGGCGUCUAUGCCUAGAGUUGUAUUCAGAUUAUUGAUAUUGAUAUUUUAUAAAAGAGAGGUUUGAAACCCUUUAUUUCCUUGUUACGGCUAGAACUCGAGAGUUCUCAACGAAUCAAGAAGACUUUGAUCCUAGGUAUUCUCAGACUAAAUAGGAUUCAUUGUGUUAUCGUAGCUUCCGCUACAUCAG